UACGUAGGUGGCAAGCGUUAUCCGGAUUUAUUGGGCGUAAAGCGAGCGCAGGCGGUUGCUUAGGUCUGAUGUGAAAGCCUUCGGCUUAACCGAAGAAGUGCAUCGGAAACCGGGCGACUUGAGUGCAGAAGAGGACAGUGGAACUCCAUGUGUAGCGGUGGAAUGCGUAGAUAUAUGGAAGAACACCAGUGGCGAAGGCGGCUGUCUGGUCUGCAACUGACGCUGAGGCUCGAAAGCGUGGGGAGCAAACAGG
This 253-nucleotide ribosomal RNA is filed under the name uncultured bacterium. Its description in RNAcentral is "partial 16S ribosomal RNA". It matches the Rfam family "Bacterial small subunit ribosomal RNA", at positions 524 to 776 of the family's 1533-position model. The record is from RNAcentral.